UAUCAAUCGAGAUCCUGUAUCUAGUGAGAUGCUGAAGAUGCGGCAACAACUAGAGUUUUUGCAGGCAGAACUCUGCGCCCGUGGGGGAGGUGCUUCUUCUGAUGAAAUUCAGGUUCUCAAGGAUAGAAUUUCAUGGCUUGAAGCUAAUAAUGAGGAGCUAAGUCGAGAAUUGCAUGAGUACCGCAAAAGAGGCUCUGGCACUGAGCAGUGUGGGGCAGAAGUGAAGGCUAAUGGUGUCUUUUCAGUAAAAAGCGAAGGUCUCAAAAGGGGCUUGCAAAGUAUAGAACCAUCUGACUAUCCAAUGAGUGAAAAUAGUGAUUCAGGAGACAUGGAGGACGAAGCAACAAAAGAGUGGGAACAUACCCUCCUGCAAGAUUCAAUGGACAAAGAAUUGAACGAAUUAAAUAGGCGCUUAGAGCAAAAGGAGUCUGAAAUGAAACUUUAUGGAGGCUCUGAUAAUACCAUGGCUCUGAAGCAACAUUUUGGAAAGAAACUUUUGGAACUUGAAGAGGAGAAAAGAGCAGUGCAG
This 529-nucleotide unclassified non-coding RNA is filed under the name Hevea brasiliensis (rubber tree). The record is from RNAcentral. Lineage: Eukaryota; Viridiplantae; Streptophyta; Magnoliopsida; Malpighiales; Euphorbiaceae.